AUUCCAGCUCCAAUAGCGUAUAUUAAAGUUGUUGCAGUUAAAAAGCUCGUAGUUGGAUUUCGGAACCGGCCGAUUGGUCCGUCCUCUGGAUCGUGUACUGAUCGGUCUGUUCUUCUUCGCGAAGACCGCGUGUGCCCUUAACUGGGUGGGCGCGGGAUUCGCGACGUUUACUUUGAAAAAAUUAGAGUGUUCAAAGCAGGCAGUCGCUUGAAUAUCUCAGCAUGGAAUAAUAGAAUAGGACUUUGGUCUUAUUUUGUUGGUUUCCGAGACCGAAGUAAUGAUUAAUAGGGACAGUCAGGGGCGCUCGUAUUCCGCCGAGAGAGGUGAAAUCCUCAGACCAGCGGAAGACGAACCACUGCGAAAGCAUUUGCCAGGGAUGUUUUCAUUA
Molecule: ribosomal RNA, 388 nt
Filed under: Ctenophora sp. (in: diatoms)
Lineage: Eukaryota; Bacillariophyta; Fragilariophyceae; Fragilariales; Fragilariaceae
Description: Ctenophora sp. (in: Bacillariophyta) partial small subunit ribosomal RNA
Rfam family: Eukaryotic small subunit ribosomal RNA
Source: RNAcentral